Molecule: ribosomal RNA, 611 nt
Filed under: Cylinchus sp. 'vanus' DA-2011
Lineage: Eukaryota; Metazoa; Arthropoda; Insecta; Coleoptera; Scarabaeidae
Description: partial 16S large subunit ribosomal RNA
Rfam family: Bacterial large subunit ribosomal RNA
Source: RNAcentral
UUUAAAGUCUAACCUGCCCAAUGAUUGAUUUAAAUGGCCGCGGUAAUUUGACUGUGCAAAGGUAGCAUAAUCAUUAGUUUUUUAAUUAGGAGCUGGUAUGAAGGGUUGGACGAGAAAAAUUCUGUCUCAUUAUAAUUUUAGUUAGAAGUUUAUGUUUAAGUAAGAAAGCUUAAAUUUAUUUGAAAGACGAGAAGACCCUAUAGAGUUUUAUAUUUAUUUUUUUAUUAUAUUUAAGGUAUAAGUGUUGUAUUAAUUUAAUAAGUAUUUUGUUGGGGUGAUGGAAAAAUUAAUUGAACUUUUUUUUUAGUUAACAUUAAUUUAUGAAUGAAUGAUCCAUUAUUAGUGAUUAUAAGAUUAAAUUACCUUAGGGAUAACAGCGUAAUUUUUUUUGAGAGUUCUAAUCGAAAAAAGAGUUUGCGACCUCGAUGUUGGAUUAAAAUAAACUAUUGGUGUAGCCGCUGAAUAGUUAGGUCUGUUCGACCUUUAAAAUUUUACAUGAUCUGAGUUUAGACCGGUGUGAGCCAGGUUGGUUUCUAUCUUCAAAAAUAGAAAGUAUCUUAGUACGAAAGGACUUGAUGUUUGUAAUAGUUAUUAUGUUUUGAUUAUUAUUA